RNAcentral lists this ribosomal RNA (302 nucleotides) under uncultured bacterium. RNAcentral describes it as "partial 16S ribosomal RNA". It matches the Rfam family "Bacterial small subunit ribosomal RNA", at positions 508 to 809 of the family's 1533-position model. The record is from RNAcentral.
GCAGUAGCCGCGGGAAUACAGAGGGUGCGAGCGUUAAUCGGAUUUACUGGGCGUAAAGCGUGCGUAGGCGGCUUCUUAAGUCGGAUGUGAAAUCCCUGAGCUUAACUUAGGAAUUGCAUUCGAUACUGGGAAGCUAGAGUAUGGGAGAGGAUGGUAGAAUUCCAGGUGUAGCGGUGAAAUGCGUAGAGAUCUGGAGGAAUACCGAUGGCGAAGGCAGCCAUCUGGCCUAAUACUGACGCUGAGGUACGAAAGCAUGGGGAGCAAACAGGAUUAGAUACCCGAGUAGUCCCUGUCUCUUAUAA